Molecule: long non-coding RNA, 311 nt
Organism: Alnus glutinosa
Lineage: Eukaryota; Viridiplantae; Streptophyta; Magnoliopsida; Fagales; Betulaceae
Exons: 4
Source: RefSeq, a predicted model, not a curated record
CAUCUCUCAUUUUCUCUUUAAUUUUUCAUAGAAAAAUUGUGAUCUACGAAGAUCAAACCGUCCAAACUCAAAUCCGACUUCGGUAACGUGAUCUACGAAGCCCGAUCUACGUUUUCACCGAUCGUUUUGAGGUAAUGGGUUACUUGGAACUUGCUUGAGGCUGCCCAAACCAUGAGUUUUGGUUUGGUGAAAUUUUGUGAUACAUUGCAAGGUGGUGUCUAAGAGACCUAGUGCUUAAAUCCGCGCAGUCAAGGGAAACUCCAGUGACUUUGUUGGCUUUGGAUCCAGAUGUUUCCUUGAGUCCCCGGUGC